AAUCUGAAUAACUUCGGGCUGAGCGCACGGUCUCCGCACCGGCGCCGCUUCUUUCAAGUGUCUGCCUUAUCAGCUUUCGAUUGUGAGGUUAUGCGCCUACAAUGGCUAUAACGGGUAACGGGGAAUCAGGGUUCGAUUCCGGAGAGGGAGCCUGAGAAACGGCUACCACAUCUAAGGAAGGCAGCAGGCACGCAAAUWACCCACUCCCGGCACGGGGAGGUAGUGACGAAAAAUAACGAUGUGAGUCUCAUCCGAGGCCUCGCAAUCGGAAUGAGUACACUUUAAAUCCUUUAACGAGUAUCCAUUGGAGGGCAAGUCUGGUGCCAGCAGCCGCGGUAAUUCCAGCUCCAAUAGCGUAUAUUAAAGUUGUUGCGGUUAAAAAGCUCGUAGUUGGAUCUCAGUUCCGGACUGACGGUGCACCGCCCGGUGCUUACUGUCACGCUCCGAACAGCCGCCCCGCCGGCUCGCACGGGAUGCUCUUUGUCGAGUGUCCCGAGUGGCCGGAGAGUUUACUUUGAAAAAAUUAGAGUGCUCAGAGCAGGCUAUUUGAAUGGCCCGAAUGGUGAUGCAUGGAAUAAUGGAAUAGGACCUCGGUUCUAUUUUGUUGGUUUUCGGAACCAGAGGUAAUGACUAAUCGGAACAGGCGGGGGCAUUCGUAUUGCGACGCUAGAGGUGAAAUUCUUGGACCGUCGCAAGACGAACUACUGCGAAAGCAUUUGCCAAGGAUGUUUUCAUUAAUCAAGAACGAAAGUUAGAGGUUCGAAGGCGAUCAGAUACCGCCCUAGUUCUAACCAUAAACGAUGCCAACUAGCGAUCCGCCGGCGUUAUUCCCAUGACCCGGCGGGCAGCUUCCGGGAAACCAAAGUCUUUGGGUUCCGGGGGAAGUAUGGUUGCAAAGCUGAAACUUAAAGGAAUUGACGGAAGGGCACCACCAGGAGUGGAGCCUGCGGCUUAAUUUGACUCAACACGGGAAACCUCACCAGGCCCAGACACCGGAAGGAUUGACAGAUUGAGAGCUCUUUCUCGAUUCGGUGGGUGGUGGUGCAUGGCCGUUCUUAGUUGGUGGAGCGAUUUGUCUGGUUAAUUCCGAUAACGAACGAGACUCUGGCCUACUAAGUAGUCGACGGAUCUCCAGAAUAUGGUGUCCAGUUCGCAACUUCUUCUUAGAGGGAUAAGCGGCAAUUCUAGCCGCACGAGAUUGAGCAAUAACAGGUCUGUGAUUCCGUUAGAUGUUCUGGGCCGCACGCGCGCUACACUGAAGGGAUCAACGAGUUUUCCCCCUCCGAGAGGAGCGGGUAACCCGUUCAAAGCCUUUCUUGAUAGGGAUUGGGGCUUGCAAUUGUUUCCCAUGUACGAGGAAUUCCCAGUAAGUGCAAGUCAUCAGCUUGCGCUGACUAC
RNAcentral lists this ribosomal RNA (1398 nucleotides) under Metanephrops thomsoni. RNAcentral describes it as "SSU rRNA". It matches the Rfam family "Eukaryotic small subunit ribosomal RNA", at positions 251 to 1668 of the family's 1831-position model. The record is from RNAcentral. Lineage: Eukaryota; Metazoa; Arthropoda; Malacostraca; Decapoda; Nephropidae.